AACUCGCGUGUUGUCAGGCUUUCGACCGCGAGCGCUGGCGGCGAGUGCAGUGUAAAUAAAGUUUUCAACGCAUCGUUUAGGUUAUCGCGCGCCGAUCGCCGAUUAGUUUUGUAAGACUAAUUCCCGACCACGCAAGUAGAACGUCCGUUCUCAUAGGCAGGAGGCGAAAACUUUGUAGCAGCGUACAGCGUUGCAACACUAUUUCGCUCGUACCGGCCGUCGUCAAAUGAUCAGCUACCUCGUAAAGAUCGCGAGAUAUGAUGUGUGUUAUGAGCACGCCGCGAGGAGUUUCUGCGGAGAUGCUGUUUCGUAGAAGUGCAGCCGAGGCUUAUGUCCACCAGCCUGGACCAGGAUCUUUUGUUUCGCAAAGUCGCCUCGUUACCGGUGAGUUGCGAGGCCGGUCCCGUUCUAUCAAACGUGCAACCUCGGUUUGAGACGUUCUCCGACGAGGUAGGCUGAAAAAGGUUUCCAACAAGAUUGUAAUACUCAAAAUAUAUCCUUUGUUGUACAUGAAAUCGUUAAACUAAAAUUCUGAUGUUCCACAAUGAAUACAGAAAAUCAAUGACAUUACUUUAAAUUUUGAGAUCUCGUCUUCAAAAUGCUGUACUGAUCUUUAUGCAAUAGAAAAAGUUUCUUUAUCAAUUACAACAAACAAGUGCCAAACAAAAGUUUCUUUCUUUCUUUAAUCUUUUUAAUGUUAUUAAUCAUGCAAUUAUUUGCAAUGAAUGAUACGUUGAAUUUCGACGUUCUCGCUUCAGAGGAAAACGAAUUGUUCGAGUGAACGGAUUGUUUUUCUACGUCGAGAAACGGACUUUUGGCCACUGAAAGUGUAUUCGGGACCGGUGCCUAUCCCGUCGCCGCGAGGAUGCGGAAAGCUGUCCGGCCGCGUUUCGAAACCGAGCCGGAACGAUAAACGGGCCUGACGUUUCUAAAUCGUAUCGCGCGUACAAACAUAUCUACAGCUCGCGCCCGGUAAUGAUGACAAAUACGUAUCCACGAGAGCUGGUCGCCGCAAUUAAUAACCGGCGCGGACACGCCGGCCCAUUCGUCACGUUCCGCUGUACCGAAACCGUAUAUUUCAGUCGAACGACGCACGCGCACCCUUGCCGGUCCGUUUCUUUUCUACUUCGUCUUUCGAAAAAUCCGCCGGUAGGUUGCGCGAGAAACUAGAACUACAGAGGCGGAGUUUCUUACGGCGCUAGUGCUUACCGAUUUGUACAAUAAAUCCUAUCGUGUGCACCGUAGAUUGCACACUAAUUGCACAGCUGGGUUCCUUGUCACCGCUGGGUGUGGCUGGGUAAAGUAGAAUUCAGAUAAUAGCCAUUAACUUUCCUAUAAUUACAAAUGUUAGGUUAGGUUAUAAUUUAUUAGGCUAUUUAUUUAUUAGGUUAUGUUAUAAUUAGGCUAUUCAUUUCAAUCGCCUAGUGCUUCGUGUCCACGGUCCAGUAGAACCUCGAUUAUAACCUAACCUGUGACACCUAAAUCGUUUAGUAUCUGUUGUCCGAAACGAUUUUCAAGUGGACUUUAAUUUACCGUAAUGCGACGGAAAAAUCGAUGUCCACUACUUACUACUGAUGUACUUGACUAGUACAUUUGACUUGACUCGCACGUCCGACGCGUACGUUCGCCUUGUGACAUGACGUCGGGUCCCGCCUUAUAAGACAUCGAGAGUUAGGGCAAUCGGUGUCGGCGGCACGCACCCGCGAAUCUGGUUGCAGCACGCAGGCGUUUUUACAGAUGGCAGGCCUGGUAAUGGGAUCGGGUCUCCAUAAUUGAAUUUACGAACGGCCGGGUGCGCGCCCACGUCGUCCAUGUUCCUCGGGGCGCUGUCGACGUCCACGUGACGCUCGGCACCGCGGGUCGGCGCGGCGUUCUGGCGAAGGCACGAACGUGGUUAAUACGCUCGGAUUUUCACCGAACCUGAUCCACGGGAGUACGUGCGCGAACCGAAUCGGCCGCGUACAUAUCCCGCCGACGCUAACGACGGCAUAACUCGCGACCGAUAUACCAGUAUUUCUAUUAACCGUCCGGGAGCUAUCAACAAAACGGUUACAAAUUGGCGUGCGCGGGAACAGCGCGAAAGGAGGGCCGGUGGGGGAAGGGACAGGAAGCUCUUGGCGGCGUGGCCUCUCGGCUUUAGAAUGCCGCCCGUAGCCCGUGAGUGAAAUGUACCGAGAGGCCUGAGCUAUCGCGGUCCGGCGUUCUAUGGAUCGGACGUGUAGGUAAUUAAAUUUAGAAAUAGAAAUUACGGUGUAUCGAUAUGGGUGGUGGGUUCGCUAGGGGCAGUUGAUCACCGGUGCCGCCGGUAAUUGGACCGGCCGCCGGCCGGCCGGCCAAUCGGAAGAAAGGGAAGAGUUAUCGGGUACAAGGACGAUCGGUCCGCCGCAAUUAGCGACACUGAUUCCGCAGGAACGACUCUUGACGCCGCGGCACGUACCGUACACGAUCAAUUGAUAAUUCGUACGCUCGCGGCGUGAUUGAUUCGCCUUUUUUCCUCUCCGAUAGGGUUAAGGUUAUUUUGGGGUCAAGUGUGGAUAUUACUGCGGACGCCCCGAAUGCUGCGGUAUUUCGUGAAAGUAAUAAAAUCUAACAUUUCA
Long non-coding RNA from Megalopta genalis, 2597 nucleotides. RefSeq lists it as uncharacterized. Lineage: Eukaryota; Metazoa; Arthropoda; Insecta; Hymenoptera; Halictidae. The record is from RefSeq and is a predicted model, not a curated record.